GAGUAGUAAUUAAUAAAAGAAAACCAACUGUCAUGUAAUGAGGCCAAGAAGAAAGGGGUAAACCAGUAACUGGUAAGAAAGACGCAAAUCACGCCACCCAAUUCUUGAGCGAAAAAGACAGUAUUGUUUAAAUCGGGCAUGCCAGCAUUUAGGGCGAGACGAAAUCAAAGAAAAUCCAGCGCACCACCCAGCCGCUCACUCUCUCUCUCUC
RNAcentral lists this long non-coding RNA (211 nucleotides) under Salvia miltiorrhiza (redroot sage). Its description in RNAcentral is "long non-coding RNA (SMIL_LNC013296)". Lineage: Eukaryota; Viridiplantae; Streptophyta; Magnoliopsida; Lamiales; Lamiaceae. The record is from RNAcentral.